Molecule: ribosomal RNA, 468 nt
Filed under: uncultured bacterium
Lineage: Bacteria
Description: partial 16S ribosomal RNA
Rfam family: Bacterial small subunit ribosomal RNA
Source: RNAcentral
GAUGAACGCUGACAGAAUGCUUAACACAUGCAAGUCAACUUGAAUUUGGGUUUUUUAACUUUGAUUUGGGUGGCGGACGGGUGACUAACGCGUAAAGAACUUGCCUCACAGCUAGGGACAACAUUUGGAAACGAAUGCUAAUACCUGAUAUUAUUAUUAUAAGGCAUCUUAGACUUAUGAAAGCUAUAUGCGCUGUGAGAGAGCUUUGGGUCCCAUUAGCUAGUUGGCGAGGUAACGGCCCACCAAGGCGACGAUGGGUCGCCGGCCUGAGAGGGUGAACGGCCACAAGGGGACUGAGACACGGCCCUUACGCCUACGGGAGGCAGCAGUGGGGAACAUUGGACAAUGGACCAAGAGUCUGAUCCAGCAAUUCUGUGUGCACGAUGACGUUUUUCGGAAUGUAAAGUGCUUUCAGUUGGGAAGAAAAAAAUGACGGUACCAACAGAAGAAGUGACGGCUAAAUACGUG